GGAGUGGCAGACGGGUGAGUAACAUCUAGGAACGUACCCUUGAGUACGGGAUAACAUCUGGAAACGGAAGCUAAUACCGUAUAUCCCGGAGACGGGAAAGGUUUACCGCUUGAGGAGCGGCCUAGAUCAGAUUAGGUAGUUGGUAAGGUAAGAGCUUACCAAGCCUGUGAUCUGUAGCUGAUUUGAGAGGAUGAUCAGCCACACUGGGACUGAGAACGGCCCAGACUCCUACGGGAGGCAGCAGUGGGGAAUAUUGGACAAUGGGGGAAACCCUGAUCCAGCAAUGCCGCGUGAGUGAAGAAGGACUUCGGUUUGUAAAACUCUUUUAUAGGGGAAGAUGAUGACGGUACCCUAUGAAUAAGCUCCGGCUAACUUCGUGCCAGCAGCCGCGGUAAUACGAAGGGAGCUAGCGUUGUUCGGAAUUACUGGGCGUAAAGGGCGUGUAGGCGGAUAUUCGCGUGAGAUGUGAAAUCCCUGGGCUUAACCUAGGAAUGGCAUUUCAUACGGGAUAUCUAGAGUGCGAGAGGGGGAAGCGGAAUGGCCAGUGUAGCAGUGAAAUGCGUUGAUAUUGGCUAGAACACCAGAGGCGAAGGCGGCUUUCUGGCUCGCAACUGACGCUGAGGCGCGAAAGCGUGGGGAGCAAACAGGAUUAGAUACCCUGGUAGUCCACGCUGUAAACGAUGUGUGCUAGAUGUUGUGUAGAUUGCUACGCAGUGUCGGAGCUAACGCGAUAAGCACACCGCCUGGGGAGUACGGUCGCAAGAUUAAAACUCAAAGGAAUUGACGGGGGCCCGCACAAGCGGUGGAGUAUGUGGUUUAAUUCGAGGCUACGCGAAGAACCUUACCAGUUCUUGACAUGUUGGUCAUAGGCUUUGUAACGAAGCUGUCAGUUCGGCUGGACCAAACACAGGUGCUGCAUGGUUGUCGUCAGUUCGUGUCGUGAGAUGUUAGGUUAAGUCCUGCAACGAACGCAACCCCUGCUGUUAGUUACUAACUUGUAAAGAAGAGGACACUAAUGGUACUGCCGGUGCAAGCUGGAGGAAGGUGGGGAUGACGUCAAAUCAUCAUGGCCCUUAUGGGCUGGGCUACACACGUACUACAAUGGUGGUGACAACGCGAAGCGAAGGCGCAAGCUGGAGCUAACCGUCAAAAGCCAUCUCAGUCCGGAUUGUCCUCUGCAACUCGAGGGCAUGAAGUUGGAAUCGCUAGUAAUCGCAGAUCAGCAUGCUGCGGUGAAUACGUUCCCGGGCCUUGUACACACUGCCCGUCACGUCAUGGAAGUUGGUUCUGCCUUAAGGCGGUAAGCUAACCUUUGGGAGGCUGCCGACCACGGCAGGGUCGAUGACUGGGACGAAGUCGCAACAAGGUA
Molecule: ribosomal RNA, 1369 nt
Filed under: metagenome
Description: bacterial SSU rRNA
Rfam family: Bacterial small subunit ribosomal RNA
Source: RNAcentral